This 725-nucleotide ribosomal RNA is filed under the name uncultured bacterium. RNAcentral's name for it is "bacterial SSU rRNA". It matches the Rfam family "Bacterial small subunit ribosomal RNA", at positions 94 to 823 of the family's 1533-position model. The record is from RNAcentral.
AGCGGCGAACGGGUGAGUAAACGUAAAGCGAUCUGCCCAUCAGACGGGGACAACGAUUGGAAACGAUCGCUAAUACCGGAUAGGACGAAAGUUUAAAGGUGCUUCUGGCACCGCUGAUGGAUGAGCCUGCGGCGCAUUAGCUAGUUGGUAGGGUAAAGGCCUACCAAGGCGACGAUGCGUAGCCGACCUGAGAGGGUGAACGGCCACACUGGGACUGAGACACGGCCCAGACUCCUACGGGAGGCAGCAGUAGGGAAUCUUCGGCAAUGGGCGAAAGCCUGACCGAGCAACGCCGCGUGAAUGAUGAAGGCCUUCGGGUUGUAAAAUUCUGUUAUAAGGGAAGAACGACUUUAGUAGGAAAUGGCUAGAGUGUGACGGUACCUUAUGAGAAAGCCACGGCUAACUACGUGCCAGCAGCCGCGGUAAUACGUAGGUGGCGAGCGUUAUCCGGAAUUAUUGGGCGUAAAGAGCGCGCAGGUGGUUGAUUAAGUCUGAUGUGAAAGCCCACGGCUUAAUCGUGGAGGGUCAUUGGAAACUGGUCGACUUGAGUGCAGAAGAGGGAAGUGGAAUUCCAUGUGUAGCGGUGAAAUGCGUAGAGAUAUGGAGGAACACCAGUGGCGAAGGCGGCUUCCUGGUCUGUAACUGACACUGAGGCGCGAAAGCGUGGGGAGCAAACAGGAUUAGAUACCCUGGUAGACCACGCCGUAACGAUGAGUGCUAAGUGU